GAUGAAGAACGCAGCGAAAUGCGAUACUUGGUGUGAAUUGCAGAAUCCCGUGAACCAUCGAGUCUUUGAACGCAAGUUGCGCCUCAAGCCAUUAGGUUGAGGGCACGUCUGCCUGGGCGUCACAUAUCGUUGCCUGAUGCCAGUUUCCUCGUGAUGGGUGACUGUGCAGGGCGAGUGAUGGCUUCCCGUGAGCAUUGUUGCCUCAUGGUUGGUUGAAAAUUGAGUCCCUGGUAGGGAGCGCCGUGAUAGAUGGUGGUUGAGUGACGAACGAGACCCAAUCAUGUGAGACCCCUACCGAAUUUGGCCUUCAUGACCCACAUGCGUCUUUGGAACGCUCAUGACGAGACCUCAGGUCAGGCGGGGCUACCCGCUGAGUUUAAGCAUAUCAAUAAGCGGAGGA
RNAcentral lists this unclassified non-coding RNA (400 nucleotides) under soil metagenome. Its description in RNAcentral is "partial contains 5.8S ribosomal RNA, internal transcribed spacer 2, and large subunit ribosomal RNA". The stretch from base 1 to 122 matches the Rfam family "5.8S ribosomal RNA", at positions 35 to 154 of the family's 154-position model. The record is from RNAcentral.